UGAGGAAUAUUGCGCAAUGGGCGAAAGCCUGACGCAGCGACGCCGCGUGAGGGAUGACGGCCUUCGGGUUGUAAACCUCUGUCAGGGGGAAAGAUUAUGACGGUACCUCCAAAGGAAGCUUCGGCUAACUACGUGCCAGCAGCCGCGGUAAAACGUAGGGAGCAAGCGUUGUCCGGAAUUACUGGGCGUAAAGAGCUCGUAGGCGGUCCUAUAAGUCAGAGAGCAAAUCCGGCGGCUUAACUGCCGGCUCAUCUCUGAUACUGCAGGACUAGAGGUCAGAAGGGGAAAGCGGAAUUCCCGGUGUAGCGGUGAAAUGCGUAGAUAUCGGGAAGAACACCAGUGGCGAAGGCGGCUUUCUGGUCUGUUUCUGACGCUGAGGAGCGAAAGCGUGGGGAGCGAACGGG
Molecule: ribosomal RNA, 404 nt
Filed under: uncultured bacterium
Lineage: Bacteria
Description: bacterial SSU rRNA
Rfam family: Bacterial small subunit ribosomal RNA
Source: RNAcentral